AGUCACCCAUGCUCCUGUAGGGAACUGGAAUGAACACACUCAUCCACCAAACUAGACUUGACGAGAGUCAGUUCUUUGUCCUGCCUGUUUUGGGGUAAACAGACUCCCCUGAAAAAGUAAUACAAAAGAGGCUAUUGGAACUUUUAAGAGGCUCUGCACAAUCCAGUCCGCAGCUAUCUCUUGUCCAGAACAACCUCCCUGUCUGUCGCGGUGCUCUGCCUGGCCAUCCUCAGAACCCAGCAAGCUGUUUUUCUGCCUUAGGGCCUUUCCUCCCUUCUUUUGUUGAGAUGUAAUCUUGGCUGGAGCCAGAAUGUUUGGAUUCUGUGCAGCUCCAGCUCCAGGGGAUCCAAGGCCAUCUUCUGCUCCUGUGGAUAACUACACAUACCUGUAAGCACACAGGCAAGAAAACUAUAGGGAAACUAGUCCAAAAUCACAAUAAGAAGUGGCAGAAACUGGAUUGAACAGCAGACUCGAGGCAACCAUCAUUAAAUGUUAACUGGGGUUUGGAACAGGUCCUCCUACCAAAGAAGUCAGCAUGAUGGGAACAAGGCAAGCUAUCCAUCUACUGAAGUCUGAAGCUUGCCCAGAAAGUGGGAGAGCAGCAGAAAGAAAGGCCUUGGCUUUUGUGCCCUUGGGGAGCUGCCUGAGGAUCCAGUCAAGCCUGGUGCUGGGGCUUCCUGUUCACCUGCUGUCAUGGCCCAUGCUUACCUCAUCCUAAUGCUGCCCCCAUAGAAGAACUUGGCUUCUGGCCCUAAGAGUGGACACUCAGAAACGGGGGGUAAACUACUCCUUUCUACUGCUGUUCUCGCCCCAGCUAGUCCCCAGAAUCUCCAAGAGCUUUUCUCUCUCCUGGUACCCACCUACCUCCUGGAAGGCCUAUAGACUCACCAGAUUUGAAGGUUGUACUGAAAUGUAAAUGCAUUUUAUCUCAGAGCUUUGUGGAUCAGAGUAUCCAUGAGAUUUCUAUUUCUAGUGGACAUAAAAGACAAAGCAGCAGCAGGGGAAGAGCACUUUUUAUCUUUGUUAUUUCUGCAGUCAUUACAAGCCAGUGAGGGUGAGAGCAGCAGCCAUGAUACCACCACCUGAGGGAUAUCUCCCAUGUAACAGCAGCCAUGCAAAGGGUCUAUAGAUGAUGUCACUUUAUCUGCACAUCAGUGUGAAACAUUAUUCCCUUUUUAAAAAACAGAUGAAGAAACUGAGGCUUUGAGAAGUUAAAUUAUUUGCCCAAGGUCACACAUAGGUAAUAAGUGACAGAAUCAAGAUUGGAGCCCAGGUCUGACUGACCCGGUUCGUUAUUACCAUACUUAUAUAGACAACUUGGAGAGGACAACACAAGCGCUUCCUAGAUAGAGAGGCAGGGGCGAGCUGUGAGAGUCCUUCUAUAAUCACCUAAGGACAGUAAGAAACGCUAUUCACAAGGCAGCAUGGUUAAUGCAGAGUAUAGGUACUGAUGCUAGACAGGCCUUGGUACAAAUCUUCCUUCUGCCUCCUACUGAUUAUUCAGGCAACUUGCCAGACUUUAUACUGUCUCAGUGUCUUCGUCUCUGAAGCAGGUAAAAUCUCUUCCUCAUAGGGACAGAGAAGCGAUCUAAAGGUAGGAGGAGUGGGGUACACUGUCCCAGAGACACUCAAUUCGAUUCCUCCCCAUCCCGUUAAAGACCACUGAGAAAAUCAAGUAUAAAUCACAUCUCAGGUCUGAUAGGUCUAUGGAGUAAUCCAAAUCUUCCUGUCAGAGCAGCAAGGACUCCUGGAGUGGGAGUGAGUACAUAUUCCCUGACAUUCCAAGUGACAUUCCUGAACCUAUUUUCCUGAGUAGUUGUUAAACAUGGCCAUUAGGGCAUUUAGUAUUGUUACAUACAUUAUGAAUUAAACACGAUUUUCCGAGUUUGCCUAAACUUACAUACCAUGUGCAAUAAAAUAGAGUCCUAGUACUAGUACCGAUAAGGUACACACUGUUUUAUCAUUGUCAUACGUCUAUAGGUAAAGUUGAUUCUGAGUGCCAGCUAUCUAACUUAACUCUAUCAUUGUAUUAAAUUUAGAAACACUUGGUAACAA
Non-coding RNA from Cricetulus griseus (Chinese hamster), 2055 nucleotides. The record is from RefSeq and is a predicted model, not a curated record. Lineage: Eukaryota; Metazoa; Chordata; Mammalia; Rodentia; Cricetidae.